CCUCGCUUUUCUGUACCGUAAGGUGGUACAGGAAUAAGUGCUGGGCAAGACCGGUGCCAGCCGCCGCGGUAAUACCGGCAGCACGAGUGAUGACCGAUAUUAUUGGGCUAAAGCGUCCGUAGCUGGCCGCGCAAGUCCGUCGGGAAAUCCACCAGCCCAACUGGUGGGCGUCCGGCGGAAACUGCACGGCUUGGGACCGGAAGACUCGAGGGGUACGUCCGGGGUAGGAGUGAAAUCCCGUAAUCCUGGACGGACCGCCGAUGGCGAAAGCACCUCGAGAAGACGGAUCCGACAGUGAGGGACGAAAGCUCGGGUCUCGAACCGGAUUAGAUACCCGGGUAGUCCGAGCCGUAAACGAUGUCUGCUAGGUGUGACUCCCACUACGAGUGGGUGUUGUGCCGUAGGGAAGCCGCUAAGCAGACCGCCUGGGAAGUACGUCCGCAAGGAUGAAACUUAAAGGAAUUGGCGGGGGAGCACUACAACCGGAGGAGCCUGCGGUUUAAUUGGACUCAACGCCGGACAUCUCACCAGCACCGACAGCAGCAAUGAAGCUCAGUGUGAUGAGCUUAGCAGAGCUGCUGAGAGGAGGUGCAUGGCCGCCGUCAGCUCGUACCGUGAGGCGUCCUGUUAAGUCAGGCAACGAGCGAGACCCGCACUCCUAAUUGCCAGCAACACCCUCGGGUGGUUGGGUACAUUAGGAGGACUGCCGUGGCCAACACGGAGGAAGGAACGGGCAACGGUAGGUCAGUAUGCCCCGAAUGUGCUGGGCUACACGCGGGCUACAAUGGUCGAGACAAUGGGUUCCUACCUCGAAAGAGGACGGUAAUCUCGUAAACUCGAUCGUAGUUCGGAUUGAGGGCUGAAACCCGCCCUCAUGAAGCUGGAUUCGGUAGUAAUCGCGUUUCACCAGAGCGCGGUGAAUACGUCCCUGCUCCUUGCACACACCGCCCGUCAAAGCACCCGAGUGGGGUCCGGAUGAGGCCUGCCGCGCAGGUCGAAUC
Molecule: ribosomal RNA, 1001 nt
Filed under: uncultured archaeon
Lineage: Archaea
Description: bacterial SSU rRNA
Rfam family: Archaeal small subunit ribosomal RNA
Source: RNAcentral